UUGAACGCUGGCGGCAGGCCUAACACAUGCAAGUCGAGCGGAUGAAGGGAGCUUGCUCCUGGAUUCAGCGGCGGACGGGUGAGUAAUGCCUAGGAAUCUGCCUGGUAGUGGGGGAUAACGUCCGGAAACGGGCGCUAAUACCGCAUACGUCCUGAGGGAGAAAGUGGGGGAUCUUCGGACCUCACGCUAUCAGAUGAGCCUAGGUCGGAUUAGCUAGUUGGUGGGGUAAAGGCCUACCAAGGCGACGAUCCGUAACUGGUCUGAGAGGAUGAUCAGUCACACUGGAACUGAGACACGGUCCAGACUCCUACGGGAGGCAGCAGUGGGGAAUAUUGGACAAUGGGCGAAAGCCUGAUCCAGCCAUGCCGCGUGAGUGAAGAAGGUCUUCGGAUUGUAAAGCACUUUAAGUUGGGAGGAAGGGCAGUAAGUUAAUACCUUGCUGUUUUGACGUUACCAACAGAAUAAGCACCGGCUAACUUCGUG
RNAcentral lists this ribosomal RNA (483 nucleotides) under uncultured bacterium. RNAcentral's name for it is "partial 16S ribosomal RNA". It matches the Rfam family "Bacterial small subunit ribosomal RNA", at positions 30 to 507 of the family's 1533-position model. The record is from RNAcentral.